Molecule: long non-coding RNA, 680 nt
Organism: Hipposideros armiger (great roundleaf bat)
Lineage: Eukaryota; Metazoa; Chordata; Mammalia; Chiroptera; Hipposideridae
Exons: 3
Source: RefSeq, a predicted model, not a curated record
CCUCAGAGUGUUCCUAAGCACCGCUGGCAGAACCUUCUGGAAAGUUGCUCCCGCCCCACCUGUCCACUGGCGCUUCCCAGGGGCAGGGGCGGGAAGACCCUCUUUGCAGAACAAAGAGGAGGCAACUUCUCCUGGCAAGCUUAAGCAAAGAAUGGAAGCUUCCCAAGAGACAUCAUCAAGUAUCCCACAGGAAAUAGUUCCCAAGCGCACCUUCUUCUGCACGAAGCAGGCCAAGUGUCAGGCUGGAAAAAUGAAGUCACUAUCAGGACCUGGAUGCAGGAAGAAGAGACUCCAGACGGUCCAGGGCCCUCCCGUCCCGAUGGUUUGUUGCCUGAGAGCAAGAGGCUACCACCUGCAACCUAAGUGCGCAGUAGGCUAUACCAUCUAGGUUUGUGUAAGUGCAGUCUAUGAUGUUCACACGAUGACGAAAUCACCUAAUGCUGCAUUUCUCAGAACGUACCCUGUUGUUAAGCAGAGCACGAGCGUGUAUUGUCACGCAUCAUUGCUGGGAGAAGUUGGCACUGUUUGCACAACUCCGCUGGGAAAGGACAACUACGAGCACCUGAACUUCUCCUGGAUUCUGCCCUGUGCCCCUCUUCCUUUGGCUGAUUUUAAUCUGUAUCCUCUCGCUGUAAUGAAUCAUAUUCAUGAAUACAAUAGCUUUUCUGAGCUCUGUGAGU